GUGUCAGCCGCCGCGGUAAUACGAAGGGGGCUAGCGUUGUUCGGAAUUACUGGGCGUAAAGGGCGCGUAGGCGGCUUAUCAAGUCAGGCGUGAAAGCCCCGGGCUUAACCUGGGAACUGCGCUUGAGACUGGUAGGCUAGAGUACCGGAGAGGUGGGUGGAAUUCCCAGUGUAGAGGUGAAAUUCGUAGAUAUUGGGAAGAACACCGGUGGCGAAGGCGGCCCACUGGACGGUAACUGACGCUGAGGCGCGAAAGCGUGGGGAGCAAACAGGAUUAGAUACCCUGGUAGUCCACGCUGUAAACGAUGUCGGCUAGACGUUGGGGUUCUUAGAACUUCGGUGUCGCAGCUAACGCAUUAAGCCGACCGCCUGGGGAGUACGGCCGCAAGGUUGAA
RNAcentral lists this ribosomal RNA (394 nucleotides) under uncultured bacterium. RNAcentral's name for it is "bacterial SSU rRNA". It matches the Rfam family "Bacterial small subunit ribosomal RNA", at positions 505 to 898 of the family's 1533-position model. The record is from RNAcentral.